Molecule: long non-coding RNA, 254 nt
Organism: Etheostoma spectabile (orangethroat darter)
Lineage: Eukaryota; Metazoa; Chordata; Actinopteri; Perciformes; Percidae
Exons: 3
Source: RefSeq, a predicted model, not a curated record
CUGCCUCUAUCGCUGCCGCAAGAAAGUUUUAAAACGCGAUGAGGGUACAAAAAUUGAAACGCAAGCACUGAACUGGCCAGGAGUUUCUGUAACAGCUGACUGUUUUCUGAAACAAGAACAAAAGCACAGUCGCUCCGUCUGUUUUUCUUUUGAAGCUGCCUUCAAGCGUGGUCGGAAAUGUUGAGAUCUAUAAACGAUCAAUAAACGAUCUGAUGGAAAACAAUAAUUGUGAAAUACAAAUAAAAAUAUAUAGU